AGUCUGGACAGUCAUGGCGGCGACUGUGGCGACGGCGGCAGCUGUGGCCCCGGCGCCAGCUCCCGGCACGGACGGCGCCUCUUCAGUGCACUGGUUCCGCAAAGGGCUGCGACUCCACGACAACCCGGCGCUGCUGGCGGCCGUGCGCGGGGCGCGCUGCGUGCGCUGCGUUUACAUUCUCGACCCGUGGUUCGCGGCCUCCUCCUCAGUCGGGAUCAACCGAUGGAGGUUCCUACUUCAGUCUCUGGAAGAUUUGGACACAAGUUUAAGGAAACUGAACUCCCGCCUGUUUGUAGUCCGGGGACAGCCAGCUGACGUGUUCCCAAGGCUGUUCAAGGAAUGGGGAGUGACCCGCUUGACCUUUGAAUAUGACUCUGAACCCUUUGGGAAAGAACGGGAUGCAGCCAUCAUGAAGAUGGCCAAGGAGGCUGGUGUGGAAGUAGUAACCGAGAAUUCUCAUACCCUCUAUGACCUGGACAGGCCAUCAUCAGCCGCAUGGAGCUGCCCAAGAAGCCAGUGGGCUCGGUGACCAGCC
This 535-nucleotide small RNA is filed under the name Pongo abelii (Sumatran orangutan). RNAcentral's name for it is "processed transcript". Lineage: Eukaryota; Metazoa; Chordata; Mammalia; Primates; Hominidae. The record is from RNAcentral.